AUUGAACGCUGGCUGCAGGCCUAACCCAUGCAAGUCGAACGAGUCGCGGACGGGUGAGUAAUGUCUGGGAAACUGGCUUAUGGAGGGGUCUAACUACUGGAAACUGUAGCUAAUCCCGCCUACCAUCGGAUUCCCCCAGAUGGGUUUAGCUAGUAGGUGGGGUAACGGCUCCCCAAGCCGACGAUCCCUCCCUGGUCUGAGAGGAUGACGAGCCACACUGGAAUUGAGAAACGGUCCAGCUUCUUACGGGAGGCAGCAGGGGGGAAUAUUGGACAAUGGGGGCAAGCCUGAUGCAGCCCUGCCGCGGGUAUGAAGAAGGCCUUCGGGUUGUAAAGUACGUUAAGCGGGGAGGCGGUACCCGAAGAAGAAGCACCGGCUAACUCCGUGCCAGCAGCCGCGGUAAUUC
RNAcentral lists this ribosomal RNA (406 nucleotides) under uncultured bacterium. RNAcentral describes it as "partial 16S ribosomal RNA". It matches the Rfam family "Bacterial small subunit ribosomal RNA", at positions 30 to 526 of the family's 1533-position model. The record is from RNAcentral.